This 463-nucleotide ribosomal RNA is filed under the name uncultured Nitrospira sp. Its description in RNAcentral is "bacterial SSU rRNA". It matches the Rfam family "Bacterial small subunit ribosomal RNA", at positions 45 to 502 of the family's 1533-position model. The record is from RNAcentral. Lineage: Bacteria; Pseudomonadati; Nitrospirota; Nitrospiria; Nitrospirales; Nitrospiraceae.
CGCCUAAUACAUGCAAGUCGAGCGAGAAGACGUAGCAAUACGUUUGUAAAGCGGCGAACGGGUGAGGAAUACAUGGGUAACCUACCCUCGAGUGGGGAAUAACUAGCCGAAAGGUUAGCUAAUACCGCAUACGACUCCUGGUCUGCGGAUCGGGAGGGAAAGCGAUACCGUGUGUAUCGCGCUCUUGGAUGGGCUCAUGUCCUAUCAGCUUGUUGGUGAGGUAAUGGCUCACCAAGGCUUCGACGGGUAGCUGGUCUGAGAGGACGAUCAGCCACACUGGCACUGCGACACGGGCCAGACUCCUACGGGAGGCAGCAGUAAGGAAUAUUGCGCAAUGGGCGACAGCCUGACGCAGCGACGCCGCGUGGGGGAUGAAGGUCUUCGGAUUGUAAACCCCUUUCGGCAGGGAAGAUGGAACGGGUAACCGUUCGGACGGUACCUGCAGAAGCAGCCACGGCUAACU